AGUAAAGUCAGCUAAGCAAGCUUUCGGGCCCAUACCCCAAACACGUUGGUUAAAACCCUUCCUUUACUA
RNAcentral lists this transfer RNA (69 nucleotides) under Rhinatrema bivittatum (two-lined caecilian). RNAcentral describes it as "tRNA-Met". The record is from RNAcentral. Lineage: Eukaryota; Metazoa; Chordata; Amphibia; Gymnophiona; Rhinatrematidae.